UACAGAGGUCUCAAGCGUUGUUCGGAUUCAUUGGGCGUAAAGGGUGCGUAGGCGGCGCGGUAAGUCGGGUGUGAAAUCUCGGAGCUUAGCUCCGAAACUGCAUUCGAUACUGCCGUGCUUGAGGACUGGAGAGGAGACUGGAAUUUACGGUGUAGAGGUGAAAUUCGUAGAUAUUGGGAAGAACACCGGUGGCGAAGGCGGCCAUCUGGCCCACAAUUGACGCUGAGGCGCGAAAGCGUGGGGAGCAAACAGG
This 253-nucleotide ribosomal RNA is filed under the name uncultured bacterium. RNAcentral's name for it is "partial 16S ribosomal RNA". It matches the Rfam family "Bacterial small subunit ribosomal RNA", at positions 524 to 776 of the family's 1533-position model. The record is from RNAcentral.